Molecule: long non-coding RNA, 418 nt
Filed under: Sinocyclocheilus anshuiensis
Lineage: Eukaryota; Metazoa; Chordata; Actinopteri; Cypriniformes; Cyprinidae
Description: lncRNA (ENSSANG00000036477.1)
Source: RNAcentral
GCAUCAGCAGCACCGUGGUGCAUGCGUCGUGGGCAGGUGGUCCUGCGCUAUGCGGUCUUGUAUGCAGCGUGUGAAUGGCAGUCUGGGUAAUCUGAUUAGUGACUCCUGUGUCUGGAACAAUCUGGCCCCAGAGGAGAGUGGAGGAUCGGACUGGGACCUCCGGUGGAGCAAUGCCACAUUGGUCAAGGAAGUGAAUCAGCAGAAUCAACAGAUUUCCAUGUUGGAGCUUGAGAAGGCACAACUUCUUCAGCAGCUGGUGUUUUACAGCACACCUGAUUGAUGACAUCCGCACAUUUUCAACUUUAAUUACAAAAGGGUUUAAUUCAAAUCACACAGUUAACGGUAAAUAGUUAAAAAUGCUUUGAAAAGACUGAAUGUUAAAAUUAAUUUAAGCUCUGGUAUACACCCAGUCCACCCU